RNAcentral lists this ribosomal RNA (354 nucleotides) under Lactobacillus delbrueckii subsp. bulgaricus. Its description in RNAcentral is "partial 23S ribosomal RNA". It matches the Rfam family "Bacterial large subunit ribosomal RNA", at positions 1598 to 1963 of the family's 2925-position model. The record is from RNAcentral. Lineage: Bacteria; Bacillati; Bacillota; Bacilli; Lactobacillales; Lactobacillaceae.
UGUCACACUGCCGAGAAAAGCUUCUAGUGAGUACUUAACUACCCGUACCGCAAACCGACACAGGUAGUCGAGGAGAGAAUCCUAAGGUGAGCGAGUGAACUCUCGUUAAGGAACUCGGCAAAAUGACCCCGUAACUUCGGGAGAAGGGGUGCUGAUCGCAAGAUCAGCCGCAGUGAAUAGGCCCAGGCGACUGUUUAUCAAAAACACAGGUCUCUGCAAAAUCGUAAGAUGACGUAUAGGGGCUGACGCCUGCCCGGUGCUGGAAGGUUAAAAGGAUGGGUUAGCUUCGGCGAAGCUCAGAAUUGAAGCCCCAGUAAACGGCGGCCGUAACUAUAACGGUCCUAAGGUAGCGAA